Equus caballus (horse) is the source of this 2118-nucleotide long non-coding RNA. NCBI's taxonomy places the organism in Eukaryota, Metazoa, Chordata, Mammalia, Perissodactyla, Equidae. The record is from Ensembl.
GAGCCAUAUUAUCUCAUAUCACGUCCAUCAGUGUCCACUGUGACCUUCUGGCCCACGGAUAAGAUGACCCAAAGGUAGUGCGGGAGAAUGUAUGUAGGGGACACGAGACACAGCCCUGAACCCACGAUGCCCAUCACAGCUGUCACACCAAAGUCCCUUUUCCUUCACACUCUCAAUUUUUCAUUCUACUCUCACAGUGUGCUUAUAUCUCCACUCGGCACUUAUGUGCCCGCCUCAGACUUCAGCAAUGGAGAGAAAUCAACAGCGAAAUAUAGGAAAACCAGAGGAGGCGUCCUCUUCUCAAACUGCAACUGUCCACAUCCGCUUGCCCCUCCAUAGCUGCAGCAUCCAACACUGUGCCGACGCCCCUCACCGUUGUGGACAGCACCCACUUCCCUGAGAGUGCACACAAGGUCCCCUCAAGGCAACAUCACCACCCCUGUGAGAGGACCAGAAGGGCAGAGGGGCAGACCACCAAGCAGCAAAACCUUCUCACAGAAACAGGGGAAGGGACAGCCAGAGCCACUGACUACAUGCUGUCCUAUUCAGCAAUGAAGAAUAGGUGGGCAAAAUCCUCCAGCCUGGAGAGCUCACCAGGCACGUUCCUGGACAUCCAGCCUUAUCGGCACACACCCAUGAGGAUCUAAAUGUCCACGGCCUCAUCUACUGUUCAUGGACAGGGCCCAGUGACUCUCCUCUUCCUACCAAUGUGCAGAGUGUACUCAGCGGAAGAGUGCCGACAGCUCACAUGCAAACGCUUGGCUAAAGCUCCAGCCCAACUCCCAUCCAGAAAUUCAGCAUCCCUAAUGACUCCUAAGAUGCCAUCGCCCUGCAUGGUGGACGACAUUCUGUUCAGCACCUUCAUGUCAGAGCACGCAAGCCUGACGGCGGGCCAUGGCCAAUUUCUCCCCAGGGACCCAGAAUUUCCCACACCCCACAUUCGGCCAUUGCCAUCAUGCGCUUUUUGGGCGACUUGAAAAAGGCAACUGAGUCAUGUGAUGGUGGAAGGAAGAAGUGUCAGCGUGGUUUGUGGAAAUAUAACAGCAGCAACAGCAGCUCGCUUUCAUCAUUCUCUCCAUGGGGACACAGCUCAUCAACAAUACGAAAGAGUGACUGGGCACCUCAACCAAGAGCGAUUAUUCCCCGGAGACAACAGCAGUUCUCUCUCAGAAGACUCCCUCAUGUUAAUGUACUACACAACAACGUAGGAGGGCAAAGAGCCAAUGUUCCUCGAGCCAUUAUUCACAGGCUAAGUCAGUGCACAGAAUCAGGCAGAAACAGCAAAGCAUUCCUCAGCAGCAAAGUCCAAAAUACUCCUAUUGCACAAUCACUCUUUCGUAUUGUUGAUGAGCUGUGUCCCCAUGGAGAGAAUGAUGAAAGCGAGCUGCUGUUGCUGCUGUUAUAUUUCCACAAACCACGCUGACACUUCUUCCUUCCACCAUCACAUGACUCAGUUGCCUUUUUCAAGUCGCCCAAAAAGCGCAUGAUGGCAAUGGCCGAAUGUGGGGUGUGGGAAAUUCUGGGUCCCUGGGGAGAAAUUGGCCAUGGCCCGCCGUCAGGCUUGCGUGCUCUGACAUGAAGGUGCUGAACAGAAUGUCGUCCACCAUGCAGGGCGAUGGCAUCUUAGGAGUCAUUAGGGAUGCUGAAUUUCUGGAUGGGAGUUGGGCUGGAGCUUUAGCCAAGCGUUACCAUGUGAGCUGUCGGCACUCUUCCGCUGAGUACACUCUGCACAUUGGUAGGAAGAGGAGAGUCACUGGGCCCUGUCCAUGAACAGUAGAUGAGGCCGUGGACAUUUAGAUCCUCAUGGGUGUGUGCCGAUAAGGCUGGAUGUCCAGGAACGUGCCUGGCGAGCUCUCCAGGCUGGAGGAUUUUGCCCUCCUAUUCUUCAUUGCUGAAUAGGACAGCAUGUAGUCAGUGGCUCUGGCUGUCCCUUCCCCUGUUUCUGUGAGAAGGUGUUGCUGCUUGGUGGUCAGCCCCUCUGCCCCUUUGGUCUUCUCACAGGGGUGGUGAUGUUGCCUCGAGGGGACGUUGUGUGCACUCUCAGGGAAGUGGGUGCUGUCCACAACGGUGAGGGGCGUCGGCACAGGGUUGGGUGCUGCAGCUAUGGAGGGGCAAGAG